CCCUAUUGUCAAUUGGUUUUGGGGUGGAACCUCAACUUCCUUCAUGGUAUCAAAGCCCUUGGUGGCUCACGCCUUCUCGAUCUACAUGAGUUCUUUGUCUUCCGCCUUCUUAAUCUGAUCUUCUUCUUCAUCUUCUCCACUUCUCCUCUCUGCCACACCUAAUUUCUAAUCUUCUUCUUCGUUCUGCAAAACCUAAUUUCUUCAAUUGCAAAUAUGCAAAACCUAAUUUCGUUUCCUGUACCUCUUCCCAACCUCGUUUCUUCCUAAAGCUUUCAGCUAUGGCUUCUUCUCUCAAGGUUCUUUGGCUUUUCUUUCUUCACGAUAGUGCCAAGAAUUGUUCUCUACGCUUUGCCUACUACAUGGUCGCUCUAUUGCCUCAUCGACUGUUCUUUGCAACUCUUUCUUUCUUUCUGUUGUUCAACGAGAUGGUGACUCCUACUCAACUUCCACUUGUUCAAUCUCCGAUUGCAACUCUCAUUCCAACUGUUUCUACAUACAUCUGUGACAGUCAAGCUUGCUGAUACAGAUUAUUGGACUUGGCAUUUCCAAAUGAAUCUUCUUCUUGAAGGUCAUGGCCUCUUGGGUUUUGUGGAUGGUUCAAGGAAAUGUCCUGCACAUUUUGAUAAAGAUUUAGAUCUUGAAGGUGUUGAGAUUGAUGCUUAUCAAGUCUGGAAGAUGCACGAUCAUGCCUUGAUGCAGCUGCUUAUUGCAACUCUCUCUUCCACUGCAAUUCUGCUAUUUGGGUCCUAUGGAUGUUCUUCUGGUUGGGUAUGUCUAUUGUUCAUCCUCUAUCUCUUUGAUUUCAAUAAUUGGAGAAUACCUAUAGUCGAAGAUUCAAGCUUUCUAUUCACCUUUGCUUGCUAUAAAAUCAACUUCAUGAUCUUGAAUACAUCACCAUUGAUCAAAUAUUGAUGGUUCAUUUGUUAUCUGCUCUGUUAAUUUUCUUGUGCAUCCAAAAUCUCAGUACCCCUAUUCUUGACUCUUAAGAAAAUCUUCAAUCAAUUACUCCUUACAUGGUUCUGUCACAAUUCUCUUCUCUCACUCUUCUUAUCUCAGGGGACAAAGAAUUUCCCAUUUCAUUCUCUUCUAUCUCUUUCUUCUUAUCUCAAGGAACAAAGAAUUUCUCAUAUCUCGUUCUCUUCUAUCUGUUUCUCCAAUCUCAAAGGAACAAACUCCUUUAUACAGUCUCUAAGGGAACCAAAGAAUUUAUUAAUUCUUCCUCUUUUCUAUCUUCUUUCUACAAUCUUCAGGGAACAAAAGAAUUUCCCACUUCUUCUUGCUUUCUAUCUCAUUUCUCUAAAUUCUCAGGGAACAAGAAUUUCCCUGUUCUCUUCUUCUAUCUCUUUCUAGAAUUUUCCUCUCCUCUUCUUCUAUCUCGUUCUUCUUCUAUCUCUUUCUAGAAUUUCUCUCUUCUCUUCUUCUAUCUCUAUCUCGAUGUGGGGGUCUGAUUACAUCAUUGAUUUGGAAGGGUUGGUAAAUCUCAUGGGCACAUAGUUGGUAAUGGUCAAUCAGGUUGGGAAAUUAGUUGACUGGACGAGUUGAUGGUAUCUCUGGAUCAGUGGAAAGUAAAACGAUGGAAUCUUUGCUGGGUUAUAA
Molecule: non-coding RNA, 1596 nt
Organism: Prunus avium (sweet cherry)
Lineage: Eukaryota; Viridiplantae; Streptophyta; Magnoliopsida; Rosales; Rosaceae
Source: RefSeq, a predicted model, not a curated record